Molecule: ribosomal RNA, 494 nt
Filed under: uncultured bacterium
Lineage: Bacteria
Description: partial 16S ribosomal RNA
Rfam family: Bacterial small subunit ribosomal RNA
Source: RNAcentral
GACGAACGCUGGCGGCGUGCUUAACACAUGCAAGUCGAACGGAAAGGCCUGCUUUCCCUUGUGGAUUGCGGGUACUCGAGUGGCGAACGGGUGAGUAACACGUGAGUGAUCUGCCCCCAACUUGGGUAUAAGCCUGGGAAACUGGGUCUAAUUCCCGGUAGGACUGCAGGGUGGUGCCUGUGGUGGAAAACGAUUUUCUAGUGGUUGGGGAUGAGCUCGCGGCCUAUCAGCUUGUUGGUGGGGUAAUGGCCUACCAAGGCGGCGACGGGUAGCCGGCCUGAGAGGGUGGACGGCCACAUUGGGACUGAGAUACGGCCCAGACUCCUACGGGAGGCAGCAGUGGGGAAUAUGGCACAAUGGGCGGAAGCCUGAUGCAGCGACGCCGCGUGGGGGAUGACGGCCUUCGGGUUGUAAACUCCUUUCGACCGCGAGGAAGCCACCUGGUUGGAAGGGUGGUGACGGUAGUGGUAGAAGAAGCACCGGCUAACUACGUG